RNAcentral lists this ribosomal RNA (215 nucleotides) under uncultured archaeon. RNAcentral's name for it is "partial 16S ribosomal RNA". It matches the Rfam family "Archaeal small subunit ribosomal RNA", at positions 511 to 725 of the family's 1478-position model. The record is from RNAcentral.
UAAAGCGUCGUAGCUGGCCGCACAAGUCCGUCGGGAAAUCCACUCGCUUAACGAGUGGGCGUACGGCGGAAACUGUGCGGCUUGGGACCGGAAGAUCCAAGGGGUACGUCCGGGGUAGGAGUGAAAUCCCGUAAUCCUGGACGGACCACCGUAUGGCGAAAGCACCUUGGAAGGACGGAUCCGACAGUGAGGGACGAAAGCUAUGGUCUCGAACC